Small nuclear RNA from Rhinopithecus roxellana (golden snub-nosed monkey), 194 nucleotides. RefSeq annotates it as U2 spliceosomal RNA. The record is from RefSeq and is a predicted model, not a curated record. The transcript has a single exon. NCBI's taxonomy places the organism in Eukaryota, Metazoa, Chordata, Mammalia, Primates, Cercopithecidae.
UUCUCUUGUGGGCCUUUAGUGCCAUAAAUUUCCCUCAACAUACUGCUUUAAAUGUGUCCCAGAGAUUCUGGUAUGUUGUGCUGAGGACAAAUCUUAAAUGGAGUUUUUGAGCAAGGAGAGGGAAUAGGAGCUUGCUCCAUCCACUCCACUCGUCAUCUUGAUAUUGCAGUACCUCCAGGAACGGUGCAUUCCCC